Molecule: long non-coding RNA, 768 nt
Organism: Engraulis encrasicolus (European anchovy)
Lineage: Eukaryota; Metazoa; Chordata; Actinopteri; Clupeiformes; Engraulidae
Exons: 4
Source: RefSeq, a predicted model, not a curated record
UAGUGGACCAUAUCUGCAAAUGCUUCUGAACAUUGACAGAAUUUCUAAAGAUGACUGAGAAUAUUACUGAAGGAUCCUACAUGGAAGCUGUCUGAUUACACUGAGUGAUUCCUCUGGUGUGGUGUACCUCAGAGAAAAUAAACACUGUUGCAAGAGCUGAGAAGAUAUCCUUAUUGCUGGAUGGUUGCUCUCUGGUCGUACUUGAGCCCCCUGGACCAUGUCUGCAAAUGCUUCUGAACAUUGACAGAAUUUCUAAAGGAUCGCUGAGGACUCCCCCUCCAUGCGUGACCUCUUUGAGAAAUUUGGAGAUGCCAAGUUUGGUACGUCUGCCAGACAUUUUUUUAACCUUUAUUUAGAAAGAACAAGUCACGAUAUAGUUGUGUGCAUUGUUGAUUUUGGCUAUACUUGGUGUUAAUUAAGCUUCCUGAUACUGCAUGAUUUAUACCGUUCACUCAGUAGAGUAAAGCUUUCUAUAUAACCUGUUAAAACAGGGCGUUAUAAAUUUUGUGGUUACCAGAAUGGCAAUUACUGAGUCGCAGUGCAUUACUAAAGGCCCUAUGUUAUGUCAUAGUAGAGUAGUACUGGCAAUUAACCUUUCAAUGACUAUUACAGCAUGUUUCAGAUGGUAUGGCGUGCAUUAUGGGGCUAAGCACCAUUGAUGUAUCUCUCUCUCUCUCUCUUUCUCUCUCUCUCUCAAAUCUUAAAAAUUCUUUCAGACUGGAACCAACUUUGCAUCCCUCGGCACUGACACUGAGAAGGUUUCAAGGA